This is a long non-coding RNA of Ornithodoros turicata, 1021 nucleotides long. RefSeq lists it as uncharacterized. The transcript is spliced from 2 exons. The record is from RefSeq and is a predicted model, not a curated record. NCBI's taxonomy places the organism in Eukaryota, Metazoa, Arthropoda, Arachnida, Ixodida, Argasidae.
AUUACAGUUGCCCUCAUCUAUACCGAUCCCAACCCUGCUACAUUCAUCAACAUAAAACCUUCCUCAAGCCAAGGGCGGUCAAGCAAUCCGCAAUUAGACUUAAAAGAAAGAUAUGUGAGAUGAGAUUGAGAAGCCUCCUGGGCCAAAGACAUUCCUUUGUAAAACGUGGAAGAUGCUGAUUUGCCCUUCAACACAGGAACUUCAGAACGUGGGGUAGCAUUCUGCUCAAUGAGCGGAAGUCAUCCCCAUAUCAUCGUCAUCAUGUAUUUAUCUCUCUCUCUCUCUCUCUCUCAGAACGUGACACUCGAACGGCUUGUAAACCAGGGUGACGGCUCAGUUUUGUUACUUGGGUAUACUAUGUGAGGGGCCUUAUUUAUCGGCAUAUGGAUGCAUGGGCUGCUUCAUGUGUUCCUCACAAAAGGCUAUUCAAUGUUCCAAAAAUGUUACUGUAGUAAGAGACUAUAUACAGGACCUAACUGAUGCCUAUCAUCACACAAAAUGGAUAAAGGACUGAAUGGUAGUAUGUUGUUGUACAACUCCGUAUCUUCUGGAUUACCGGUCCAUUGAGUCCUUCUCGAGGCUUUGUGUGUUUGUCAUUUCUUACAUGUUCCAGCCUGAGAACAUCAACUUCCAUCGUGAAGAAAAAUAUGUUCAGAUGCUCCUUACUCUAAGACUUCUGCUAGUUAAAUUGUGCAAUGGCAAAAUUUAUUCAUUUGUAUAACUAUGGUUGUGAAAGAUUUGAACAAUAUGUAACUUUGACUCAUUGUGUCUAGUAUAAUAUAUACUCCGCUGAAGAGUUUUGUUUGCAGUGAAUGCUGCCCUUCCUCCCUGUUUAUUUCAAACAACUGUACCUGUCUUUGAGAACUUUGCAUGAUACACUAAGAAAAAUUGUCGUUUUUUGCUAACUCUGUUGCCUGCAUGUGUGCCGUGACCCUUAUGCUGCACAAAAUCUGUUCUUAGGACACAGUUCUGCAGCACAGGUCACACGUUUAUGCAAUAAACAUAGAUAAUGUAAGUUGCA